RNAcentral lists this ribosomal RNA (253 nucleotides) under uncultured bacterium. Its description in RNAcentral is "partial 16S ribosomal RNA". It matches the Rfam family "Bacterial small subunit ribosomal RNA", at positions 524 to 776 of the family's 1533-position model. The record is from RNAcentral.
UACGUAGGGUGCAAGCGUUGUCCGGAAUUAUUGGGCGUAAAGAGCUUGUAGGCGGUUUGUCGCGUCUGCCGUGAAAAUCCGGGGCUCAACCCCGGACUUGCGGUGGGUACGGGCAGACUAGAGUGUGGUAGGGGAGACUGGAAUUCCUGGUGUAGCGGUGAAAUGCGCAGAUAUCAGGAGGAACACCGAUGGCGAAGGCAGGUCUCUGGGCAUUACCUGACGCUGAGGAGCGAAAGUGUGGGGAGCGAACAGG